RNAcentral lists this unclassified non-coding RNA (377 nucleotides) under soil metagenome. RNAcentral's name for it is "partial contains 5.8S ribosomal RNA, internal transcribed spacer 2, and large subunit ribosomal RNA". The stretch from base 1 to 120 matches the Rfam family "5.8S ribosomal RNA", at positions 35 to 154 of the family's 154-position model. The record is from RNAcentral.
GAUGAAGAACGCAGCGAAAUGCGAUAAGUAAUGUGAAUUGCAGAAUUCAGUGAAUCAUCGAAUCUUUGAACGCACCUUGCACCCUUUGGCAUUCCGAAGGGUAUGCUCGUUUGAGUGUCAUUGUACUCUCACACUUCCGAUCUUUGGAUUGGGAGCGGUGGACUUGGGUGUUGCUGCUUACUGUGGCUCACCUCAAAUCGAUUCGUGCACCUCUUGGUUGGACAUAGUACGGCGUGAUAAGUGUCUUCGCCGGCACCUCAGUAGAGGGUGGCUGAUCGGGAGCUCUGCUUCAAACCGUCCUCGGACAACAACUGACAACUUGACCUCAAAUCGAGUAGGACUACCCGCUGAACUUAAGCAUAUAAAUAAGCGGAGGA